UACGUAGGUGGCAAGCGUUGUCCGGAUUUAUUGGGUUUAAAGGGUGCGUAGGCGGCCCUGUAAGUCAGUGCUGAAAUAUCCCGGCUUAACCGGGAGGGUGGCAUUGAUACUGCGGGGCUAGAGUACAGAUGAGGUAGGCGGAAUUGACGGUGUAGCGGUAAAAUGCUUAGAUAUCGUCAAGAACACCUAUAGCGAAGGCAGCUUACUAGGCUGUAACUGACGCUGAGGCACGAAAGUGUGGGGAGCAAACAGG
Molecule: ribosomal RNA, 253 nt
Filed under: uncultured bacterium
Lineage: Bacteria
Description: partial 16S ribosomal RNA
Rfam family: Bacterial small subunit ribosomal RNA
Source: RNAcentral